This is a non-coding RNA of Achaetomium macrosporum, 115 nucleotides long. Lineage: Eukaryota; Fungi; Ascomycota; Sordariomycetes; Sordariales; Chaetomiaceae. The record is from the annotation of a GenBank genome assembly.
GGCUGGAUGGCCGAGUGGUCUAAGGCGGUAGACUCAAGAACCUGGUUCUUGCCCUGGAAAUGCGGGGUGCAUUCUACUCUCGAAAGAGGCGCGCGUUCGAAUCGCGCUCCAGUCA